Molecule: long non-coding RNA, 1985 nt
Organism: Tribolium castaneum (red flour beetle)
Lineage: Eukaryota; Metazoa; Arthropoda; Insecta; Coleoptera; Tenebrionidae
Exons: 2
Source: RefSeq, a predicted model, not a curated record
GACAUAAAAAAUUUGAAUUUUCUGACAUUUAUACGUGUAUUCAGCGUCUGUGUGAACAAAAAAUGUUCUCUCUCUCAUUCUAUGGUUCUUGAGCUUUAAUAACAGGGACAUUUUUUAAAUUGGUAGCAUUAGAAAAUGACAGUAAACAGCUGACUGAUGUAAACAAUAACACAAUAACAAAGGAAAUGUUAUAAUUUUAAUCUAUAUAACCAGUGGCUGCUUUAAAAGUGUGUACUAACGGGAUAAUAACAUAUUUACGCAAGUAUUUUUGAAGGCAGAAACAUUACUUGUCAUAUAACAACUACUCAGAUUAUAUGAUGAGACGGGAAUGGCACAAUACAGAAUUGCAGUCAGUGAUUGUGAUGGAGAAAGCUGCUGUGAAGUACUGACAGUACUGACUAUCGCUGGUUGUACGAUUUGUGCAAUUUGUGAUAUAUUUUGUGUGAAAAACUGGAAAAGAAAGUGCAUCACUGCAUAACCUCACUUAUCGCAGUUUUGCACUUUUUGAUGAUGGGAAUUGCGGUUCAAGUAAUUAUGAGUUAUAGAUGGAGAGCCCUGUUUACUUCAAACUGAAGCCUUUUGGGUCCACUUUGUUCGUUAUUUCCUGGCAGCCACUCUUGUUUCAAGCAGAGUGGGUGUAAAGUUAAAAAUAAUCCCGUAAAAUUGUUAAUAUAACUCCUUUGCACUGGCAUGGGGUAUUUGAAAACUUACGUUUAACAAAUACGUCACAAAGUCUCAGCCAUCGUUGAAAAACAUAAUAAGGGCUUUAUAACAAGAAGCGCUUUCUGAUUUUACUGUGGACGUGUGGAAGAAUAGUGUGAAAUAUUGCGAAAAACCAACUUUUACUCUUGUUUACAUUUUUGUACGUCUCUAUCUGAGAGUAGUCUCUUGUAUAAAAAAUAUAGCCUACUAAUAAAGGAAAUUAAAGUGUUUUUAUUUCUGGGUUGCCCCCAAUUCCACUUCGCCCUUGCCUGAUAAUCAAGACACUGAUAAUGAAAUUGGUGUUAGUGCAUCGAAUACAAACGUGUUGAAUAGAUGAAUAAAAGAGAGACAACUGCUUUUUUCAAAAAGGCCAUUUCAAAUUUAUUCAAAAAGCACACCCCCAUUGAAAAGGGUCCAUUCACGAUGAAGUUUGGCUUCCUGCAUGACAUAGGUCUCGGGCACCAAUCUCACUGUAAAUGGUCUAAAUUGGUCUUGCAUCUCUAAGACAUGGACUCACUGAGAGCGACUUCUGCAGUAGGCUUGAGACCUGCCUGCCUGUCUCGCAACAAUCUCUGCAUUAUGAUUCCAAAUCAUUCUAUAAAACGCUGUCAAUUACAAGCCAUGAUAUGAGGCAUGAGGCCGUCUCAGUGUAUGUCUUGUGGUGUACAUUGAAACUGUUUCUUAAAGAACCCAUUCACAAUGAGAUCUGCUUCGCUACAUGCGGCGCGACAGGACUCAAAGACUAAUCCUCAAAGACACAAAAAAACUGACACAGUUUAUCAUUUUAAGCCAUUGACAGCGUUUUCGAAUGUUGGUGCAAAGACUUGUCGCGAGGCAGGUUUCAGUCUUCCGCCAACGUCAGUCUGAGUGAAACCCUCUCAAAGUGAUCUCAGCGAAAACCAUUCACAAUGAGAUUGACCUAUGAGGCCUAUGUCGUGCCGCAUGCAGCGAGAUAUGUCUCAUUGUUAAUGAAAAUAGGGCCUUUUUUGUUGUUUAAAGUCGUUUUUUAAAACUUUUGUGGCAAAUUUUACUGAUGUGGCAGAGAGGGGGCAUGCAAUUGGAACAUGACGAUGACUACCCUAAAAGGCACUUCGAGGCUUUUAUGGCCUUUUUAAUGCAAAUUUCAACUUUAAACCUGACAGUCAUACCAAGGUCAAACAUAACCUCAACAGUAAUCCAGCAACGGUACUUCAAAGCAUUUGAAAGUUUCUCCAUUUGUUUUUAAGUGUUCUAGUUGGUACAUUUUGCUGUACUUUACUACAAUAAAGAAAUAUUUAAAUUUU